GUAUGAAGGGACCAUCUGGAUGACCCCCGCAUCUACUGCUAGGGUUGUUUUGGCUGGUCUGGCUGGUCAGGUGUGCGUCCUCUUCCUUCCUCUCCAUUUCAUGUGUACCCCACCAAGAGCUGCUUGCUCCAUCCUUGAAGACAACCUUUCCUGAACAAGGGAGCAUCAUUCAUUGUCAAGGGUAUAAAUAGCCAUGCUCACCUACUAGAACCUCCAAGUAAACUCUUAAGCUGCAAAAUAUCUUAUAGUAUUGCUUACAUUCAAGAAAUGUAACUU
RNAcentral lists this small nuclear RNA (276 nucleotides) under Jaculus jaculus (lesser Egyptian jerboa). RNAcentral describes it as "7SK RNA (ENSJJAG00000005774.1)". It matches the Rfam family "7SK RNA". Rfam says of the family: 7SK was discovered as an abundant small nuclear RNA in the mid-70s but a possible function has only recently been suggested. Two independent studies have found that 7SK RNA binds the CDK9/cyclin T complex (known as elongation factor P-TEFb). P-TEFb activates transcription by phosphorylating the C-terminal domain of RNA polymerase II. The record is from Rfam by way of RNAcentral. Lineage: Eukaryota; Metazoa; Chordata; Mammalia; Rodentia; Dipodidae.